Molecule: ribosomal RNA, 1888 nt
Filed under: seawater metagenome
Description: bacterial LSU rRNA
Rfam family: Bacterial large subunit ribosomal RNA
Source: RNAcentral
UAGUACCGUGAGGGAAAGGUGAAAAGAACCCCUAUUAGGGGAGUGAAAUAGAUCCUGAAACUGUAUGCUUACAAACUGUCGAAGCCCCAUGUGGGUGACGACGUACCUUUUGUAUAAUGGGUCAGUGACUUAAUUUAUGUAGCAAGCUUAAGCCGUUUAGGUGUAGGCGUAGCGAAAGCGAGUCUUAAUAGGGCGAUUAGUUGCAUGGAUUAGAACCCGAAACCGAGUGAUCUAGCUAUGAGCAGGUUGAAGGCAAGGUAAUACUUGCUGGAGGACCGAACCAGUUGACGUUGAAAAGUCUUUGGAUGACUUGUUGCUAGGGGUGAAAGGCCAAUCAAACUCGGAGAUAGCUGGUUUUCCGCGAAAACUAUUUAGGUAGUGCGUUGAGAUAUAGAUUUUGAGGGGUAGAGCACUAAAUAGGCUAGGGGGAAGAAAUUCUUACUAAACCUAAUAAAACUCCGAAUACUCAAAAUUGUUCCUCAGCAGACAGACGGUGAAUGCUAACGUCCAUCGUCGAGAGGGAAACAACCCAGACCACCAAUUAAGGUCCCCAAGUUAUGGUUAAGUGUGAAAGGAUGUGAAGACUCCAAAACAGCCGGGAGGUUGGCUUAGAAGCAGCCAUCCUUUAAAGAUAGCGUAACAGCUCACCGGUCUAAUUAAGAGACUUUGCGCCUAAGAUGUAACGGGGCUCAAACCAUACACCGAAAUUGUGGAUUGAUAGAAGUCUUCGGACUUUUAUUUCUGGUAGCGGAACGUUCUGUAAGCCUGUGAAGAGAGACCCGUGAGGGCUCUUGGAGGUAUCAGAAGUGCGAAUGCUGACAUAAGUAACGACAAACAGAGUGAAAGACUCUGUCGCCGAGAGUACAAGGGUUCCUGCGUAAAGUUAAUCUUCGCAGGGUUAGCCGGCCCCUAAGACGAGGACGAAAGUCGUAGUCGAUGGGAAUCAGGUAAAUAUUCCUGAGCCAGGUGGUAGUGACGGAUCAUGUAAAUUGUUAACUCUUAUUGGAUUGAGUUGGCUGUGAAGUGGUCCCAGGAAAUAGCUCCAUCAUAAGACCGUACCCCAAACGGACACACGUGUACCGGUAGAGUAUACCUAGGCGCUUGAGAGAAUGAUGUUGAAGGAACUCGGCAAAAUGCUUCCGUAACUUCGGGAUAAGGAAGACCCAAUAAUGGGCAACCAUAUUUGGGUGGCACAAGCCAGGGAGAAGCGACUGUUUAUCAAAAACACAGCACUCUGCUAACACGUAAGUGGAUGUAUAGGGUGUGACGCCUGCCCGGUGCUGGAAGGUUAAAGGGAGAUGUGCAAGCAUCAAACUGAAGCCCCAGUGAACGGCGGCCGUAACUAUAACGGUCCUAAGGUAGCGAAAUUCCUUGACGGGUAAGUUCCGUCCUGCAUGAAUGGCGUAACGAUUUCUCCGCUGUCUCCAACAUCAACUCAGUGAAAUUGAAUUCUCCGUGAAGAUGCGGAGUUCCCGUGGUUAGACGGAAAGACCCCGUGCACCUUUACUAUAACUUUACAUUGGUAUUAGAAAUGACAUGUGUAGCAUAGGAGGGAGACUUUGAAGUGAUGGCGCCAGCCGUCAUGGAGUCUUUAGUGAAAUACCUCUCUUGUUAUUUUUGAUAUCUAACUGCAUGCCAUUAUCUGGCUGCAAGACACUGUAUGGUGGGUAGUUUGACUGGGGCGGUCGCCUCCUAAAGAGUAACGGAGGCGUGCGAAGGUUGGCUCAGACCGGUCAGAAAUCGGUCGUUGAGUGCAAUGGCAUAAGCCAGCCUGACUGCAAGACUGACAAGUCGAGCAGAGACGAAAGUCGGUCAUAGUGAUCCGGUGGUUCUGAGUGGAAGGGCCAUCGCUCAACGGAUAAAAGGUACGCCGGGGAUAACAGGCUGA